Alosa sapidissima (American shad) is the source of this 691-nucleotide long non-coding RNA. RefSeq lists it as uncharacterized. The record is from RefSeq and is a predicted model, not a curated record. NCBI's taxonomy places the organism in Eukaryota, Metazoa, Chordata, Actinopteri, Clupeiformes, Clupeidae. The transcript is spliced from 3 exons.
CCCACAUUCUAUGUAAACAUUUUAAAUGGUCAAUGUUUUCAUCUAUUUCUGAUACCGGUAGGCUACAAAAAUAAAGACUGAUUUUAGGCUACCAUUUUAAAUGACUGAAUUACUUUCACGUUAAAACAUUCCACGUUCCACAUUCUAUUGCUUGCUUAGUAUUUAAAUGCGUCAGGUAGAAUUUCCAGGACAUUUGCGAAUUCUCGAGGCAUGGCAAUGUCAGACAAUCGAUUUUGCAGACGGGUCACUGAAAUUAGAGACAGGAUGAAUGCGCAAUGCAUUAGGAUUUUAAAUGAAGAUGUACCCGAAGAGAACUCUAUCCUGGAAAGCUUACAGGUAUUCCGGCAGCAAGAAGGUGCUAGGCCAUAUGGGAGGAGACGCGGCACAAGGCCUGGCGUAAGGCCACAGGAGGUGACUUUUAAAGUUUCGGUUCUGCGGAGCAACACAACUACCCGUUACAGCUCCAGAAAUGACGCCACCGAGGCCUGUAGGGUGGUAGUGCCUUUGGACCUCAGCCCUGGAGAAUUUCGUCAGGCACGGGGACAGUGUUCUGGACAAUGUUCCUGAAGUGCCUGACGAAUUUGACCUAUGCAGGGUCAAUGGGCAAAGGGAAGUUAUACGUUUGUCUGAAGACUGUCCCAUGGACAUCAGAAGAAGGGGAGCCUUAAUGAGAUCAAACCUCUACCUUCGG